AUUGAACGCUGGCGGCAGGCCUAACACAUGCCAGUCGAACGGUAACAGGAAGCAGCUUGCUGCUUCGCUGACGAGUGGCGGACGGGUGAGUAAUGUCUGGGAAACUGCCUGAUGGAGGGGGAUAACUACUGGAAACGGUAGCUAAUACCGCAUAACGUCGCAAGACCAAAGAGGGGGACCUUAGGGCCUCUUGCCAUCGGAUGUGCCCAGAUGGGAUUAGCUAGUAGGUGGGGUAACGGCUCACCUAGGCGACGAUCCCUAGCUGGUCUGAGAGGAUGACCGGCCACACUGGAACUGAGACACGGUCCAGACUCCUACGGGAGGCAGCAGUGGGGAAUAUUGCACAAUGGGCGCAAGCCUGAUGCAGCCAUGCCGCGUGUAUGAAGAAGGCCUUCGGGUUGUAAAGUACUUUCAGCGGGGAGGAAGGGAGUAAAGUUAAUACCUUUGCUCAUUGACGUUACCCGCAGAAGAAGCACCGGCUAACUCCGUG
RNAcentral lists this ribosomal RNA (490 nucleotides) under uncultured bacterium. RNAcentral's name for it is "partial 16S ribosomal RNA". It matches the Rfam family "Bacterial small subunit ribosomal RNA", at positions 30 to 507 of the family's 1533-position model. The record is from RNAcentral.